This 527-nucleotide ribosomal RNA is filed under the name uncultured fungus. RNAcentral's name for it is "eukaryotic LSU rRNA". It matches the Rfam family "Eukaryotic large subunit ribosomal RNA", at positions 24 to 664 of the family's 3401-position model. Lineage: Eukaryota; Fungi. The record is from RNAcentral.
CCCGCUGAACUUAAGCAUAUAAUUAAGCGGAGGACUAGAAAAUAACAGAAAUUUCCUGAAUAGUGGCGAACGAAAAGGAAACAGCGCGUCGUGUAAAUCGGGUUUCCAUAAUCCGAGUUGUACAUGACUACUAACAAUAUCCAAAACCAGAUGGAGGUGUCUGGAAAGUCCCCCCAUUGACGGUGAAAGGCCGUAACAUCUGUCAGAGGAUAGUGUCGUUAGUAGUAAGCAGAGUCACAUUCUUUGGGCGUAGAAUGUAAAAUGGGUGGUAACUAUCAUCCAACGCUAAAUAUUGCAAAGAGACCGAUAGCAUACAAGUACCGUGAGGGAAAGUUGAAAAGCACUCCGGAAGGAGAGUUAAAUACCUGAAAUCGCUAUGGUGGAAGCGUGUGCCAUAUUUUGUAAGCCCACGAUACUCUCGUGGACUUGCCGUGACAAUCCUCGCGUCAUGACCUAUCAAUACUUUGUAUUGGAGUAAUGUAUGCCAGGUUUGUUUGAUCUGGCACACGACCCGUCUUGAAACACGG